Molecule: long non-coding RNA, 436 nt
Organism: Suricata suricatta (meerkat)
Lineage: Eukaryota; Metazoa; Chordata; Mammalia; Carnivora; Herpestidae
Exons: 3
Source: RefSeq, a predicted model, not a curated record
UUUCAGCUCUUCUCAACCUUGUUGCCUUUCUACCAAAGACUUUUGAUGACAACAUGAAGGUGGGGGGCUUCCUCUUCCUGGUGAUGCUCAUCACCCUCAGCUUGGAGGUACAGGAGCUCCAGGCUGCGGUGAGACCACUGAGAUUGUUGGGUAGCUGCGUGGAGGCCUGCCGUGGCGACUGGGAUUGUGAUCUAGGAGAACGCUGUGUCAGCAACGGGUGUGGCCAUGCCUGUGCUCCAGCCUGAGGACAGAUGAAGAUUUACCUUAAAGGUCAUCCUUCUCUAAUAAUUUCUCAUCACUUCCUAUCUUCAAAUAUGUGACUGGAACUCCUUGCUCAGGAAGACAAAAGAAAAUGGGGACCUGUGGAUGGAGAUUGCAUGUGGUGGGGAAGGAGAAAGGGUCAUUUCUUUCAAUAAAUCAUCAUUGUUAAGAAGUA